This 179-nucleotide ribosomal RNA is filed under the name uncultured bacterium. RNAcentral's name for it is "partial 16S ribosomal RNA". It matches the Rfam family "Bacterial small subunit ribosomal RNA", at positions 320 to 496 of the family's 1533-position model. The record is from RNAcentral.
UUGGGCACUGGGGGACUCUACGGGAGGCAGCAGUAGGGAAUCUUCCGCAAUGGACGAAAGUCUGACGGAGCAACGCCUCGUGAGUGUUGAAGGCUUUCGGGUCGUAAAACUCUGUUGUUAGGGAAGAACAAGUACGAGAGUAACUGCUCUUUUUUGAGGUACCUGGCGGAAACCGUCGG